AACGUAGGAGGCGAACGUUAUCCGGAUUUACUGGGCGUAAAGCGCGUGUAGGUGGUUCUGUAAGUAGGGCGUGAAAGCUCCCGGCUCAACUGGGAGAGGCCGUUCUAAACUGCAGAGCUAGAGGAUGGUAGAGGGAAGUGGAAUUCCAUGUGUAGCGGUGAAAUGCGUAGAGAUAUGGAGGAACACCAGUGGCGAAGGCGGCUUCCUGGUCUGUAACUGACACUGAGGCGCGAAAGCGUGGGGAGCAAACAGGAUUAGAUACCCCUGUAGUCCCU
Molecule: ribosomal RNA, 275 nt
Filed under: uncultured prokaryote
Description: partial 16S ribosomal RNA
Rfam family: Bacterial small subunit ribosomal RNA
Source: RNAcentral